Molecule: transfer RNA, 77 nt
Filed under: Chitinophaga rupis
Lineage: Bacteria; Pseudomonadati; Bacteroidota; Chitinophagia; Chitinophagales; Chitinophagaceae
Description: tRNA_Arg_TCT
Rfam family: tRNA
About the family: Transfer RNA (tRNA) molecules are approximately 80 nucleotides in length. Their secondary structure includes four short double-helical elements and three loops (D, anti-codon, and T loops).
Source: RNAcentral
GGACCGGUAGCUCAGCUGGAUAGAGCAGCUGCCUUCUAAGCAGCAGGCCAUUGGUUCGAAUCCAAUCCGGUUCACGA